This 3398-nucleotide long non-coding RNA is filed under the name Homo sapiens (human). RNAcentral describes it as "HSALNT0369980". Lineage: Eukaryota; Metazoa; Chordata; Mammalia; Primates; Hominidae. The record is from RNAcentral.
GGACAAGAGGCCAUAUGCAGUUUUCCCCUUGGCUGAUCUUUUCUUCUUGUGGCUUAUUCCACAAACAAGAUGCAGAAUGGCAUAUACAGAACCCUGCAACGGCCCAGCCUCAUCACAAGAGAGGAACAGACCAUAGAGGGGUGGGGCAGAAAGAGGAAUGAUUUUUUUUUAACUGCGCCUUUUAAACUGCGAAGCAGCUAAGCUCCAUAUAUACAGAAGAGCCCCAUGGAAGUCUGGGUGUAUAUAGGGUUAUGUUUUCCAGGUAUGCUAAGUUUCUAGUGCCCAGAUUAGCCAACUGCUAGCUAGAAUAUUUUUCCCACUGUAAUUGCAUUUAAAAGGGGAAAAUACAAAAGGGGAAAAUAAAUUUGAAGAGUUUCAAAUGUAUGGGAUAACAAAGAGAAAAAAUACAGCUCUAUUAAGACCCAAUGAUAGGAGCUGUCUCCAUUGCACAUUUUUAUUCUUUCUCCGAGGUCACCAAUGUCUCAAAUACCAUGUCAAAGGAAGGAGACGGGUAUAUAGGAAAUGUUUUCUCUCAAGUAUGCUAAGUUCCCAGUGCCCAAAUUAGAUGACUUCUUGCUGGAAUAUUGCUCUCAUUGCAAUUGCAUUUAAGGUCACAGGUCAUAUGUUUUGGACAACUGAUAUCAACUGACUGGCUUCCUGGUGCAACUGAACUCUUCCUCUUUUGGGACUCCACGCAGUUACCAUUGUAUCUCUAGCUUGUGACAACUCUUAAGUAAAAUACUGUGUUCUGGGAACACAAUUUUACCAGGGAUAGGAAGUAACAGUUCAAAGGCCAGGGGAUGGCUUAUUUUCUAACCAAUGAUCUUUAAUGCCCUAUUCACUCAAGAUUCUUUACAAGAGGUAUUCAUGGAGACUUGGAAUUGUAUCAAGACAACUGCUGAGGGACAGAAGAACUCCCCAGUUCUACUUAGAUUCUACCUGGACUACAGUCUCUGGAAAAUUCCCAAUCUAUUCAGAAUCCAGAACAUCUCUCACUAAAACUAAUCAAAAUAACAAACUGAGGAGGAUGAAAUAUUGAUUUUAAUUUCCUUGGACUUUCAAAUCACUGUAGCAAGAAAAUACGAUUUUGGACUUGAAUUCAUCUGGAUUUAUUAAGGCUUUAGAUUUUCAUUUCUCCCUAGACAUCUCAUAGGGAAUUGAUACUCACUUUGGAUGCAUCUUUAUAAUUUGGUAUUUUGGUUUUGAAGUAUGGUAAUGCUGUCCUUUAAUCCCACAGCAGGACAUGGGCUAUGUGCCAUCAUCAUCUGUGAUAGAAAAUAGACCAAGGGCGAAUAGAUGGCCUUGAAAACCAAGUGGCCUAGGAGUUAAUUCUAAGGAACUUGUCUGAUCUAUGUUAGAGCCUUCUCAGAGCAAAAUCUUCAUUGCCCACCUGUGGCUCCAGGAUGAUUUCCCAAGAAGCAAGGGAAGCAGGGAGGUGAGAGCAGGCUGAUCCAACAGGCUGCUGCUUUGCUUCUGAGCACUGGGAGAGCCCCGCUCUAGCUUAAUGAACAAAAUCGUUCAUUAAAACUAAUAGAAUAAAAAUAUGGUAACUAAUGGAAAAGGAAUGACUCUUCCUCACUGUUGAUGUUCCCCCUUAAGUGAGGGACCAUCGAUUAGAAUAACAUACCUGGCUUUGUUCUACCUCUUGACUUUUUUAGCGUGAAUCUCACCCUAGACCUAGCAUCAGAAUCUUCUGGAGCUGGGGUCCAGGCACCAGUAUGUUUUAAAAGCUCCCCGGGUGAUUUUAAUGUGUAGGGAGAGCUAAGAACCAAUGAACUAAAUGAUCUCUAAAGAUACUUUCUAACUCUUUUUUUAAAAAAUGCUGUGAUACCACCAGGAGUUAGAGAAAAUGACUUCAAGGCCCUUGGGGCACCCUUUUCUAGCAGCCCCGAGGCUCCAGUGCAUAGUGUGCAAUCAGCCUUCUAAUAGGAGAAAAACAAUACAAGGCUUCAUGUGUUGGUCCCAAAGCUUGCCUAUUCUGGCUGCCCCACCAUGUCACUGCCAUACAAUCAAUGGAAAAAUUGUUCUUUACCAUAACUUGAGAGGGAGAUAAUCAGGAACAAUCUGGCUACACCAUAGGCUAAUCACAAUGACUGAUAUUUCUAGGGCUGCAUUAAUCAAGCCUUCAAGUAGACAGACUCUUACGGUCAGACCAAUUCUAGAAUGAUUCUGCCUCCACUGUGGGAAUCUUUUAUAAACGGAAAUUCUCCAUUCAGCCUUCCCUCUCUCUCUUAAGUGCAAAAUCCCUCCUAAUGGUAGCAUCUGUUGUCUGCGGCAAACAGAGUUGAUUACAGAUGCUCUGAAAGGAAUUUAAGUAUUUUCUCUUGCUACUCAGGAGGUGAUGGUGUGAUGGGAAACAGUAAUUCUUUUUAGAAAAUAAAAAACCUUUGGCUAAACAGUGACUACAAUAAUAAGAAUGGCUUGGUUUCCUGAAGCCUACUUUGCAAUUGUUGAAGUGAUUUGCCCACUCUAGAGAAGGUAUAUGAAGUGGAAAUGGAAUAUGAAGAGAUAUUCGUACAAGGGAACAAGGUGUGUAUUCCUAGCCUUAAUUUUAAGGUUAUAUGUCUGUGAUAUUAAUUUUAUCACAAAAAUGGACAAGUUCAUUUUUCUAAACCUGGAAAGACGCCAGUGGGGUUCUGUCUUAAUUAUGAGGACAGAGAAAAAAAAAACAUUUCACCCAGUGUUUGGUGCUAAGGUCUUAGUUAUGAAUAUAGAGAAAAGACACAUUUUACACAGGCUUUGGAGUUCAUGCAAGGCUGCACGCAAUUGCUUGCCUCAGAGAAUGGAGCAGUGGGAACUUGCUUCUGACCUGGUGGCUCACUGAAGCUCAAACUGGCAAUUUUAUGAAAUUUCCAGCAGCUUUGUAACUGUGUCUAUUAUUUAUGAUUCGGCAUCUUCAAAUUUUUCUACGGUAUACUUAACUUGAGCUGAACACUAAAAAAUGGCAAAGUUCGCAGCUUCAAAUUUUGUAGGGAACAAGCUAUGAAAGCUAUUCCUACUCUCUGUAUCUGCUCUUUAUUUUAGAAAAGAAAUACAAUAUUCUCCAUUCUAGGGGUAGGAUGGAGAGUCAACACAUAAUUCCUUGAUGUAAAACGGACAUUUCUUUUAUUUAAAUUUAAAAUUCGUAUAUUUGAUACUAUCCUUAUAUGUAAAAUAAGUAUCUGGAAUUCAUACCUCUACAAAAAAGCAAGGUAAAAUAGCUUUUAUUCUUCAAGACGCUGCCAUAAGAUACAAACAGUUACGUUUGCUCCAUCACCGUUUUUGUUUGGUAAUUUUUUUCCUCCCAGAUCUUUCCUGAUAGAAUUGUCGUGCAAAAAGGUCUUUUGAAUACUAAGUCAUCAGAAUUGUUUUAAGAAAAAUACAGAUGGAGUCUCACUCUGUUGCCCAGGCUGGGGUGC